GUCUUCUUGAGUACCACGUUGACGACACCAGUUCUCGUCUGAUCACUGACGUUAAGCGACGUUGGGCGUGGUCAGUACUUGGAUGAGUGACCAUCUGAGAGAUCACGUGUUGAUGGUU
This 118-nucleotide ribosomal RNA is filed under the name Olea europaea subsp. europaea. Lineage: Eukaryota; Viridiplantae; Streptophyta; Magnoliopsida; Lamiales; Oleaceae. The record is from RNAcentral.